ACGUUGCUGACAGCGCUCGUUGUUAAGGAGAACCGACUGGGUGCGAUUUCUUUGGUCCUACCCAAAACGUGGAUUUCUUUGGUCCUCCCCACAUGGUUUGAACCUCUCCCCAGCCAGGCCUCGAACCCGCGAUGUUCUUGCUGUGAGGCUGCAGUGCUAACCACCACACCACGGUGCAGCCCAUGUCAAAAUGUGAAGUAGUAAGUAGUAAAUCCUAAUCGAGAGGACUCUGCAUGCCGCUGGUAAAUUGACUCUGUGAGAAAGCCCUGCAGGUCAAGGUUCAACAGCACCCUCUGCUGGCGAGAAGAAGAAUGAUGUCUGGACAGGAUGGGGCUUGUUCAGCCACACUGACAAGCCGCAGACUAGUUGCAAGUAGACUGUACGAAGCUGCGUGGACUUUCUGUGUGUUUUCCCAGUUAUAUGUGCGUUCUUGAGGAAAUGCUUUCCACUUCUGAGUUAUGGAUAAGUUGUUCAUUAUUCCAAUUCAUGUUACUGUGGUUUACAUUUGAUGCUGUUAGGACAUUUUUUUUUGCUCCUUGCUGCUUGUUAAUGAUGGAAUUUGCACUGUUUCAACCCCCAAUACUGUGUCUACGCUAUCAUACACUUAUAAAGCAGUUUCUUUGUAAUGUUUAUUGAUUUAAAUGCUGAAUAUUAUGUUGAACAUUUUGUAAUACAUUUUAUUAUUUUCCUUUCAGACCACACACACACACAGAGAGACACGUAUACCAGUAUCCUGUACAACAAUGUUAAACCUCAGAAGUUCUAUUAAAGAAGAAGAAAACAGAUCUCUCUCUCCAAGUGCCAUGAUUCUCUGACCGGAAUCAUAGUCCAUAAUCUGCCGCCUCAACCAGCAUUCCUAUUAUUUGAGACUCGUCCCCUCAAAUAGACUCACUUACAGAAGAAUCAGAAGGUAAAAGUUCUCCCACCGAGAAGGAAAGAGUUUCACAAAAAUAUGCCCUACCAACGUGUCUGCACAAGAAACGUCCGUGAAAGCAGGUGAAGAAACUGAAAUCCAUUUUCAGUUUGGAACAAAAUAAAAAUGAAAACUUUUGA
Molecule: long non-coding RNA, 1053 nt
Organism: Melanotaenia boesemani (Boeseman's rainbowfish)
Lineage: Eukaryota; Metazoa; Chordata; Actinopteri; Atheriniformes; Melanotaeniidae
Exons: 2
Source: RefSeq, a predicted model, not a curated record